This 440-nucleotide ribosomal RNA is filed under the name uncultured bacterium. RNAcentral's name for it is "partial 16S ribosomal RNA". It matches the Rfam family "Bacterial small subunit ribosomal RNA", at positions 339 to 795 of the family's 1533-position model. The record is from RNAcentral.
CUACGGGUUGCUGCAGUGGGGAAUUUUGCGCAAUGGGCGAAAGCCUGACGCAGCAACGCCGCGUGCGGGAUGAAGGCCUUCGGGUCGUAAACCGCUGUCAAGUGGGAAGAACCCUGACGGUACCACUGAAGGAAGCCCCGGCUAACUUCGUGCCAGCAGCCGCGGUAAUACGAAGGGGGCAAGCGUUGUUCGGAAUCAUUGGGCGUAAAGCGUAUGUAGGCGGCUGGAUAAGUCGGGCGUGCAAGCCCGCGGCUCAACCGCGGAAUGGCGCUCGAAACUGUCCGGCUUGAGUGCAGGAGAGGAAAGCGGAAUUCCCAGUGUAGCGGUGAAAUGCGUUGAUAUUGGGAAGAACACCAGUGGCGAAGGCGGCUUUCUGGCCUGCAACUGACGCUGAGAUACGAAAGCCAGGGGAGCGAACGGGAUUAGAUACCCCAGUAGUC